GCCUGUUUAGGGUCGUCAAGCGG
RNAcentral lists this microRNA (23 nucleotides) under Daphnia magna. RNAcentral's name for it is "Dma-Novel-7_5p (mature (co-guide))". Lineage: Eukaryota; Metazoa; Arthropoda; Branchiopoda; Diplostraca; Daphniidae. The record is from RNAcentral.